AUUCAGUGAAUCAUCGAAUCUUUGAACGCACAUUGCGCCCGCCAGUAUUCUGGCGGGCAUGCCUGU
RNAcentral lists this ribosomal RNA (66 nucleotides) under Trichoderma asperellum. RNAcentral's name for it is "5.8S ribosomal RNA". It matches the Rfam family "5.8S ribosomal RNA", at positions 79 to 144 of the family's 154-position model. From Rfam's summary of the family: 5.8S ribosomal RNA (5.8S rRNA) is a component of the large subunit of the eukaryotic ribosome. It is transcribed by RNA polymerase I as part of the 45S precursor that also contains 18S and 28S rRNA. Lineage: Eukaryota; Fungi; Ascomycota; Sordariomycetes; Hypocreales; Hypocreaceae. The record is from RNAcentral.